GACGAACGCUGGCGGCGUGCUUAACACAUGCCAGUCGAACGGAAAGGCCUCUUUCGGGGGGUACUCGAGUGGCGAACGGGUGAGUAACACGUGAGUAACCUGCCCUUGACUUUUGGUUAACUUCAGGAAACUGGGGCUAAUACCUGAUAGGAGCUCCUGCUGCAUGGUGGGGGUUGGAAAGUUUCGGCGGUUGGGGAUGGUCUCGCGGCUUAUCAGCUUGUUUGUGGGGUAGUGGCUUACCAAGGCUUUGACGGGUAGCCGGACUGAGAGGGUGACCGGCCAAAUUGGGACUGAGAGACGGCACAGACUGGUACGGGAGGAAGCAGUGGGGAAUAUUGCACAAUGGGUGGAAGCCUGAUGCAGCAACGCCGUGUGCGGGAUGACGGCCUUCGGGUUGUAAAACGCUUUCGCUCAUGACGAAGCUUUGUGUGACGGUAGUGGGUAAAGAAGCACCGGCUAACUACGUG
RNAcentral lists this ribosomal RNA (467 nucleotides) under uncultured bacterium. Its description in RNAcentral is "partial 16S ribosomal RNA". It matches the Rfam family "Bacterial small subunit ribosomal RNA", at positions 28 to 507 of the family's 1533-position model. The record is from RNAcentral.